CCCAACCUAAGGUCGCCCGCAAAACCGGGAGUCGUUCCUGCCUCAUCACUGGGAAGGGCGGGGAGCGCACUGGGCAUGCUCCGAGCCGGGCGGGGGACCCGAGCGCCCCAUAGGAGAAACCCAUUUGCAGAGCCCCGCGGGACCGUCAGCCCCACUUCGUUCCCGCCUCCUCUUAGAGAGUCGAAGUCAUAGCUUUCAGAGCUUGGAAAAGCUGGUAAGUCAGGAUCCGCGAAGGCGUUGUGUGUCCUCUUCCCAGCUGCUGUGUGGUUGGGGCCAGCACCUUACCCUCUCCGUGCCUCGCGUAGUACGAAUACCUACAGCUUCGAUCUGGGCGGCAUGUGGAAACUGAAUGAAAUCAGGAAGAUGAACACGUUUAGUCCACUUUGAAGAUCCAUUUCUUGAGUGACUACCUCAAUUAUCCGUCAUUCUCAUACCAGUUUGCCAAGCGCCGAGAUGAGGACACCGAGGUUAAUGAACAUGCUACAGAUUACCUUUAAAUUUCUGGUCUCCUCUUACGGUUUUAUUUGGGGGCCAAAAUAUUAAAGUCAUCUUUUUAAGCUGUUGCACCUGGAAUGACAUGAUGUUAUUAUCAGCAAUGACAGUUGAUCUUAUAUCAUAAGCUCCCAAACUUUAUGCAAAUGGAGCUUUGGAUGGACACAUAAUCUUCUUAGUCUACGUGGUUGAACUCAGCCAAAUCUAAAGCAAGUAGAAGCCCGGUGGGGAAUAGGGUUGUACCAAAUCUCAGAUAAUGGGGCCAGUGCAGAGAGGACCCACACAGAUUCCGGUCCUUGGGCAAUCGUUUUGGAGACAGAAUCACAACAUAAUGGAACCACAGGGACCAUGGACUCCUCAGGACGUUGCUGUGAUGAAAAGACACAGAGCUGCUAAGACACAGAGCUGCUAAUCUUGAUGUUUACUGAGAGGGCCCUAACGUAUCCCUCCUGCUGCUGGUAAGUUGAAAAAACAGUCAGCUCUCUCUUUUAAUGGGGCUGGUAGACUGUAGGAGGCCUGAAAUUACUACACAAGAACAGCAAACACAAAAAGUCAAAGAGGGUCAUUUCAUAGGAUAGGAAGAUAUGCCACAGACCUAAUAUGCAUCACUGGUAAUGGACCAGAUUCCUGCAAGUGGAAUGAGAGAUAAGCAACUGAACAGUUAUUAGCAGCAUUCCCAGAAACUGCCAUUUAGACAGAAAAAUCUGGAGCCAAGCACUGCAGACAGGCAAUUGGCUGGGGCAUUUGUAGGAAGAGUUUCCUGGAAGAAUAACAAAGGAUUGUCACUCACGUUAAGACUCAGGAAGUCUGGGCACCACAUGGACUGUUUCAAUGAUUUAAGGGUAGGGCUCCCAGCUGAGAUGCUAAUACUCAUCAAUUAUUUGUGCUGUUAAUGCAACCUCAUGAAGGGCUCCAAGAAUCGGGAAAAACAUGCGCAAGUGGUGCUGUAUACUGACAAGUGAAAAGAAUACAGUGUAAAAUUAUAUGCAUAGUAUGGCUUCAAUUCUGUGAAUUACUAGGUUAAAUCUAAAUUGCCAUUUUGUAGGUCAACAAUGGCUGAACACUGGCAGCUUCCUGUAUUUCAGCUUAAUAUGUACACAUAGAAAAAAGAGUAGAGAGAACUGCACCAAAAUAUUAUUGGGGGCUCUGGGUAUUGCAUUUAGAGGCAGAGUAAUAAGACAAGGAUGGUAUCUUGUACAAAUUAGGAGAAUUUCAAAUCUUUGGGCAUUUAUUUCUUUGUAUGUCCUUAUGGUUCCCUAAGUCUUAUUUUAUAGUAAAUGUGUUUCUUUUAUGAUCAGAAAAUUUAUCUAUUGAAAAAUUUCUUUCCAUUGCAAAUUAUUUCUGCCAGAAGAGUUUUGUCUGUGAAACUGGUGAACAAAUUUAGCAUGAGUACAUGAGCAGACAUGAAGUGACUGUUGUCAAUUCAUUUGUUUAUUCAUCAAAUAUUUAUUAAGCACCUACUGUGUAUCAGGCAGUACUCUUAGUGCUUGAGAGACAUCAGAGAACAAAAUGAUUUCUGCCCUCCUGGGCAUGCAUUCUAAUAGGGCAAACCAAUGAACAACUAACAUAUAGAUAAGUGAAUUACAUUGUAUGUUACAAGAUCAGGGGAAAGGGUGAUAGGGAGAGUGAUGGAGGUGAGGUGGGUGGGGAGUUGCAAUUUUGAAUAGGAUUGAGAAAUUUAAUCACUUAAGCAAACACCUGAAGGAGAUGAGGGAGUUAUUCAUGCAGAUAUCUGGGAGAAGAAUUUUCUGGGCAAAGGGAAAAGCUAGUACAAAGGUCCUAAAGGGAAUGUAUCUAGAGUACAGAGGCUGGUAGUGCAAGGGGGAAGCUGCAGGGAUGAAGCCAAGAGGUACCAGGGACCAGAACCUGAGGGCUGUUCCCUCAUCAGCCCCAGGAAAGACUCAGCCUUUCAGUCUGAGCUACACGGAAGCCAAACCAACCUAAUGGCUGCAAAAUGUACUUCUCAGCACAGCAAAAGUUAAAUGCUGUCCCUUUAGUCGUCACCUGAUGCCACCUUGCUGGUAAACACAGAUUUGAAUAACUGAACUGAAAUCAUGCAGCCAUCUUCUGUUAUAAGGCAGUCAGCCAUACAAUCCAGAUUAUGCAUGUAUUUUUAAUAAUGUCAUAGAAAUAGAAAGAUAACAAACAAUUAUCUUGCAGUGUCUCAGACCUUCAAGAACACUUGAAUGAACUCUCUCAGGGCUACACAGACCUGAAUUUGAAAAACACUCUAAUGGCACAACACCACAUAGAUUUGCUGCUGCAUGAAAAAUGGAAAUGUUAAGUCUAGGGACUUUGAGAUCCUGCUCUGGAAACUCAACAGAAGGCUGUGGCUUUAGAAAUAAAGAGAAAUGAUGAGAAAUGCAGAGAAUGGAAGUUGGCAUGCUGAACUGUGGCUGAUGGUGCUUAAGUAAUGACUUUACCUGAAAGGGAGUGGUAUCAUUUUACAAAAUCCAGGCAGAAUGGAUUUGUCAAGCCUCCCAACCAUACCUUCAAGGUUCACAUGCGUGGUAACAGAAGCAGAGAGAGAGAGAGAGAGAGAGAGAGAGAGAGAGAGAGAACCAACAGGUGAUAUACAAUAGUCAUACAGAAGUUAUGGCUUUGAAAAA
Molecule: non-coding RNA, 3101 nt
Organism: Manis javanica (Malayan pangolin)
Lineage: Eukaryota; Metazoa; Chordata; Mammalia; Pholidota; Manidae
Source: RefSeq, a predicted model, not a curated record